AAGGAAGCACACUGAGGUCAUAGACUAAGCCAUGCAAGUGAUAGUUCAGGCAACGAAACUGCGAACAGCUCAUUAAUACGCUCAGAAUCUAAUUGGCCUAAACCAGCUGCUGGUGAAAAGGAUAACAGCAGUAAUUCUGGUGCUAAUACAUGCAAGCCAGUACUUUUCAUCGGAAAUGAAGUACGAUGGAACAGCUGACCGCAAGGCAUGCCAUUUGGCUGAGCGACCUAUCAGCUUGUACUUAGGGUCUUUACCUAGGUAGGCUAUAACGGGUAACGGGCGGUUACCGUCGGACUGCCGGAGAAGGCGCCUGAGAGAUAGCGACUAUAUCUACGGGUAGCAGCAGGCGCGAAACUUACCCAAUCGAGACAAUCGGAGGUGGUAAUGACCAGUUUCAAGUCAGCUCCAUACGGGGUUGCUUGAAUAGGACUACACAUUUCUAGUGUAGUGAAACCUAGCAGAGGGCCAGUCUGGUGCCAGCAGCUGCGGUAAUUCCAGCUCUGCAAGUUUGCUCCCAUAUUGUUGCAGUUAAAACGCCCGUAGUCAGAUCUACAAUGUGCUUGUGGGCUUCGACCCACGUUCACUGCGAACAAAUCAGGACGCUUCGUGUAUGGUUACAUGAAUGCGCAAGCGCAGUAUGAUAUCUUUACCACAGGUAAGAUCAAAGAGAGCUAUUCGGGGGUAGAUCUAUUUCAUGGCGAGCGGUGGAAUGCGAUAACCCAUGAGAGAGAAACUAAGGCGAAAGCAUCUACCCAGGGAGUCUCUGUCGAUCAAGGGCGAGAGUAGGAGUAUCGAACCGGAUUAGAGACCCGGGUAGUUCCUACUAUAAACGAUGCCGACCUACUCAUAUGAAACAAUUCUCGUAUGAGUAAGAUUGAGAAAUCAUAGUUCUUGGGCUCUGGGGGAACUACGACCGCAAGGCUGAAACUUGAAGGAAUUGACGGAAGGGCACACCAGGGGUGGAGCUUGUGGCUUAAUUUGAAUCAACACGGGAAAACUUACCAGGACCAUAUGUCUUAUAUGACUGACAGGCUUUCGGUCUUUCAGGAUUAGACUUUGGGUGGUGCAUGGCCGUUGGUAGUGCGUGGGUUGACCUGUCUAGCGUCGAUUCAGAUAACGAGCGAGACUACCUCCAAUUGGUUUGUCUGUGUCAAAGCAGACACACGCCAGUCAUUGGGACAACCUGCGUCUAAGCAGGAGGAAGAGGGUAGCAAUAACAGGUCCGUGAUGUCCUUUAGAUGCCCUGGGCUGCACGCGCGCUACAAUGUGAGAAUCAAAGAGUUACGAGCCUUGAAAAGGUAAGUUACUCUGCUAAUACCUCACGUACCUGGGAUUGACAGUUGCAAUCACUGUCAUGAACUAGGAAUCCCUUGUAAGCAUGUGUCAACAACGCAUGUUGAAUACGUCCCUGCCCUUUGUACACACCGCCCGUCGCUCCUACCGAUGGAUGAUUUGGUGAAAUCACAGGAGGCUCGUCUGAAAGUGAUUAAAUCAUAUUAUCUAGAGGAAGGAGAAGUCGUAACAAGGUAACGGUAGGUGAACCUGCAGAAGGAUCAAAGGGCGAAUUCCACAUUGGGCUGCAGCCCGGGG
This 1590-nucleotide ribosomal RNA is filed under the name Snyderella kirbyi. Its description in RNAcentral is "SSU rRNA". It matches the Rfam family "Eukaryotic small subunit ribosomal RNA". The record is from RNAcentral. Lineage: Eukaryota; Parabasalia; Cristamonadida.